UACGUAGGGUGCAAGCGUUAAUCGGAAUCACUGGGCGUAAAGGGUGCGUAGGCGGGUUUUUAAGUCAGAGGUGAAAUCCUGGAGCUCAACUCCAGAACUGCCUUUGAUACUGAGAAUCUUGAGUUCGGGAGAGGUGAGUGGAACUGCGAGUGUAGAGGUGAAAUUCGUAGAUAUUCGCAAGAACACCAGUGGCGAAGGCGGCUCACUGGCCCGAUACUGACGCUGAGGCACGAAAGCGUGGGGAGCAAACAGG
This 253-nucleotide ribosomal RNA is filed under the name uncultured bacterium. RNAcentral's name for it is "partial 16S ribosomal RNA". It matches the Rfam family "Bacterial small subunit ribosomal RNA", at positions 524 to 776 of the family's 1533-position model. The record is from RNAcentral.